UACGUAGGGCGCAAGCGUUAUCCGGAAUUAUUGGGCGUAAAGAGCUCGUAGGCGGUUUGUCGCGUCUGCCGUGAAAGUCCGGGCUCAACUCCGGAUCUGCGGUGGGUACGGGCAGACUAGAGUGAUGUAGGGGAGACUGGAAAUUCCUGGUGUAGCGGUGAAAUGCGCAGAUAUCAGGAGGAACACCGAUGGCGAAGGCAGGUCUCUGGGCAUUAACUGACGCUGAGGAGCGAAAGCAUGGGGAGCGAACAGG
This 253-nucleotide ribosomal RNA is filed under the name uncultured bacterium. RNAcentral's name for it is "partial 16S ribosomal RNA". It matches the Rfam family "Bacterial small subunit ribosomal RNA", at positions 524 to 776 of the family's 1533-position model. The record is from RNAcentral.